Molecule: long non-coding RNA, 1720 nt
Organism: Gymnogyps californianus (California condor)
Lineage: Eukaryota; Metazoa; Chordata; Aves; Accipitriformes; Cathartidae
Exons: 8
Source: RefSeq, a predicted model, not a curated record
UUUACUUUAGUGACUGAUUAGUUUAAAGGAAGGGAUGUUUUGAAACUAAACUGAGUUUGAAAGGAAAUAAUCCUUGUUGUCAAAGCUCAUGUGAUGUUAUUCAGGUGCACCCAAAUGUUAUGUAUUCCAGGUGUGCCCAGGCACCUGGCCAGCUUGACUGAGAACAGAGGUGUUUUCUUCAAAGCAGCAGAUUUACACAGUAAGGUUUUGAGAUGGUGUAGGUAUUUAAUCGCUGACCCUGCUGAGGGAUCUACCGGUGUGCCCGCACUGGGCUGCUGCAGUCGAUGCUGGAUCAGCAGAAGUAAACUGGUAAUUAUGAAAAAGAAAGUGAGAUGGAAGACAUUCCUUUUGAAAUUGCUCUCAUAUGGCUUCUCUACCACAAACUGCACUGCUCAGCUUAAGUGGGAACAGUUUGGUUGGCUUGAUAUGAGUGACUGAUCCUGCCAUCUUCAGAGAGUAAAUGACACUUCCAUCUUCACAGGUGGACUAGAAGAGAGAAAGAUAACAGGACGCCUUCAGCCCAUUGUAGGAAGAUAUUACGAUGCAAGAGGAUUCUUGUGCUGUUUUUCCUCAUGCCUGCGAUUACUCCUCUUAUCCUUGUUUUUAAGGUACUGGCAGGAUCUCAGCACAUCGGUUCGCUGAAGUUGCAGCUCCCAGUGACUUUAAUGGUACUGGCCACAUUCCUCACGGACUUCUGUUUGCCCUUUUUAUCAAGAGUUUAACGUUGCCCUUUCAGGGCACAUUUUUGCAAUCAUAAAUAUGUUCUUUCCGUUUACACAGUUGUGGUCUUGCAAGUGAUAACGGGCAGACAUGUUCACUUGAAACAUUUCUUACAGAAUAAACAGUAGCAGCCAAAGGUGAGGAUGAGAUUCUCAGUGCUUCGUUAGCACAGACGUACUGGGAAAAAGGCACUGAAAGCCCUGGAACCAAGCACACAAAGUGGGAUUCUUGGAAGGAAGCGUAAGCUGACACCUACCUAACAGGGUUAACAACAGGAAAGGUGUUCUAGGGGAAUGCCGCAGCCUUGCAGCAUUUAUUCAAAGUGGUACUGUUGUCACAGGCAACAGAUAACUACCGGUUCUCAUCUGGAAUACAUCUACACGCUGAAUUAACCAUGACCAUUGUGAGUGUCAACAUACCUGCGGUAGUGUAACCUGCUGUUCCUAUGUUGACUAGUACGGAUAUGAAAGUAACCACCUCCAAAGCCUUUCCUUGCUGAAAGUGUUUGGUUUUUUUUUUUUUCCAACUGCUAGAAUCACAUUUGCAUUUUGCUGGAGACUCUGUCUCGAUCUCCCUUCCUCCCUGCCACCCAGCAGCCACAGGAAUUCAGUUGCAUUCAGAACUCUUGAUGACCACCAAGGAAAGAACAAGAUCUGGUGGCUUAGAACUCUUUUAUUCUGGGGACUUUUUUUCCUGGGGAGGACUGAUCUCUAUAUGAAGGGGAAUCUGUUAUUCUUCAAAUUUUGAUUUGUUGCUUGUUUUUCAGGUAGUGAACUGAGCACUGAUGGCCUUGCUUUUGAAGUGGAAUAUGCUGUGUUGCAGCCUUGCGGCAGGACUUCAGCUCCUACACGCCGGCGUGUCUGCGGUGUCGUACUAGGAGCGGGCUGUGUUACUGGAGGUAGUGCCCGGUGAGCACCCGCCCUCAGUGUUGGUAGCAGGAUCAAGCAAGCUAUGAUUAUUAUUCGAUAGCAGUAUUUUAAGGGAAAAAAAAAAAUAUGAA